RNAcentral lists this ribosomal RNA (468 nucleotides) under uncultured bacterium. RNAcentral's name for it is "partial 16S ribosomal RNA". It matches the Rfam family "Bacterial small subunit ribosomal RNA", at positions 28 to 507 of the family's 1533-position model. The record is from RNAcentral.
GACGAACGCUGGCGGCGUGCUUAACACAUGCAAGUCGAACGGAAAGGCCCUGCUUUUGUGGGGUGCUCGAGUGGCGAACGGGUGAGUAAAACGUGAGUAACAUGCCCUUGUCUUUGGGAUAACUUCAGGAAACUGGGGCUAAUAUAGGAUAGAAGCUCCUGCUGCGUGGGGGGGGAUGGAAAGUUUCGGCGGUUGGGGAUGGAAUCGCGGGUUAUCAGCUGGUUGGGGGGGUAGUGGCUUACCAAGGCUUUGACGGGUAGCAUGCCUGGGAGGGUGACCGGGCACCUUGGGACUACGAGACGGCCCAGACUCCUAUGGGAGGCAGCAGGGGGGAAUAUUGCACAAUGGGCGGAAGCCUGAUGCAGCAACGCCGCGUGCGUGAUGCUGGCCUUCGGGUUGUAAACAGCUUUGGCCGGUGAUGAAGCGUGAGUGACGGUAAUGGGUAAAGAAGCCCCGGCUAACUACGUG